This 703-nucleotide long non-coding RNA is filed under the name Cyanistes caeruleus (blue tit). RNAcentral describes it as "lncRNA (ENSCCEG00000019033.1)". The record is from RNAcentral. Lineage: Eukaryota; Metazoa; Chordata; Aves; Passeriformes; Paridae.
CUUCUGGAACUGCCACACAGAAUGACCAUCAGCUGCUGGGAAAGCUUUACCUGGAUGCAGUAUUUUUGACACAGUUCAGUUUCAUUAAUCCUUCAGAGACUUUAUUGCCUCAUCUGUCCCUUUACACACAUGACUCCAGAGUGCUGCAAGCUGGAACUGUGCAGGGGAAAUUCCAGUUUUAGAAACUGUCCAGCAAGGCCAAGACACUGUGAACAAAGCCAUGCAGUUAUCACUGGCCUCUACCUGGACGAGGUUUCCCUAGAGAAGCAUUACCUGCACUGCAGUGGGUGUUUGUUUCUCUGCCUGGAUUGCUCCUCGACCCUUCAGCUCAUUUACACCAGACCCUUUCUGACCUCACCUCUGCGUGGUCAGCCAGGAAGCCUUCUGGGAUGUGAGGCAGGAGACAUUCUGGAGAAAUGCUGCUGAGAAUUUCUGCAAGUGACAUAUUUUAAAUAUGUGCUAAAUUCACUGGACAUUUGUGUUUGUAUGUAUGUAUUUUAUUUUCAUAUAAUGUACCAUAUGUCUCUGCCCAAGGGUACAGGUGCUUCUUUGGCUGCUCUUGCUCCAAAGCUGCCUCUUUGAUAUGGGCAGUUUGCACAGGGAUUAAAUGUGCAGGCUUGCGAAAUAUUUGAAAAAAUGACCAAAAGGAUGCAUUUAUAGCUAAAAAAAUAAAAGAAUGAAAGAAGUUAUAAAAUGUAUUGUA